UACGAAGGGGGCUAGCGUUGCUCGGAAUCAUUGGGCGUAAAGCGCACGUAGGCGGCUUCGCAAGUCGGAUGUGAAAUCCCUCGGCUCAACCGAGGACGUGCAUACGAAACUGCGAAGCUUGAGUACUGAAGAGGAUCGCGGAAUUCCCGGUGUAGAGGUGAAAUUCGUAGAUAUCGGGAGGAACACCAGUGGCGAAGGCGGCGAUCUGGGCAGAUACUGACGCUGAGGUGCGAAAGCGUGGGGAGCAAACAGG
This 253-nucleotide ribosomal RNA is filed under the name uncultured bacterium. RNAcentral describes it as "partial 16S ribosomal RNA". It matches the Rfam family "Bacterial small subunit ribosomal RNA", at positions 524 to 776 of the family's 1533-position model. The record is from RNAcentral.